AUUCUUCGGAUGAAGUAUGAUAUGACUGAGUGGCGGACGGGUGAGUAACGCGUGAGUAACCUGCCCUUCGAGAGGGGGAUAGCGUUUGGAAACGAACGGUAAUACCGCAUAAUGUAUUUUGACCGCAUGAUCGAAAUACCAAAAGAUUUAUCGCUGAAGGAUGGACUCGCGUCUGAUUAGGUAGUUGGUGGGGUAACGGCCUACCAAGCCGACGAUCAGUAGCCGGACUGAGAGGUUGAUCGGCCACAUUGGGACUGAGACACGGCCCAGGCUCC
RNAcentral lists this ribosomal RNA (275 nucleotides) under uncultured bacterium. Its description in RNAcentral is "partial 16S ribosomal RNA". It matches the Rfam family "Bacterial small subunit ribosomal RNA", at positions 72 to 339 of the family's 1533-position model. The record is from RNAcentral.